AGAGUUUGAUCCUGGCUCAGGAUGAACGCUGGCGGCGUGCUUAACACAUGCAAGUCGAACGAAGCACUUUAUUUGAUUUCCUUCGGGAUUGAUUAUUUUGUGACUGAGUGGCGGACGGGUGAGUAACGCGUGGGUAACCUGCCUUGUACAGGGGGAUAACAGUUGGAAACGGCUGCUAAUACCGCAUAAGCGCACAGUACCGCAUGGUAUAGUGUGAAAAACUCCGGUGGUAUAAGAUGGACCCGCGUUUGAUUAGCUAGUUGGUGGGGCAACGGCCUACCAAGGCGACGAUCAAUAGCCGACCUGAGAGGGUGACCGGCCACAUUGGGACUGAGACACGGCCCAAACUCCUACGGGAGGCAGCAGUGGGGAAUAUUGCACAAUGGGCGAAAGCCUGAUGCAGCGACGCCGCGUGAGCGAAGAAGUAUUUCGGUAUGUAAAGCUCUAUCAGCAGGGAAGAUAAUGACGGUACCUGACUAAGAAGCACCGGCUAAAUACGUGCCAGCAGCCGCGGUAAUACGUAUGGUGCAAGCGUUAUCCGGAUUUACUGGGUGUAAAGGGAGCGCAGGCGGUGCGGCAAGUCUGAUGUGAAAGCCCGGGGCUCAACCCCGGUACUGCAUUGGAAACUGUCGUACUAGAGUGUCGGAGGGGUAAGCGGAAUUCCUAGUGUAGCGGUGAAAUGCGUAGAUAUUAGGAGGAACACCAGUGGCGAAGGCGGCUUACUGGACGAUAACUGACGCUGAGGCUCGAAAGCGUGGGGAGCAAACAGGAUUAGAUACCCUGGUAGUCCACGCCGUAACGAUGAAUACUAGGUGUCGGAGGCAUUGCCUUUCGUGCGUCGCAACGCAGUAGUAUCACUGGGAGUACGUCGCAGAUGAACUCAAGGAUGACGGGACCGCACAGCGUGAGCAUGUGAUAUCGAGCACGCGAGACUACAGUCUGACAUCUUCUGACGUACUAUCGUACUUCUCUUCGACGAAUGACAGUGGUGCAUGGUGUGCUCAGCCUCUGUCCUGGAUAUGGGUUAAGUCCCGCAACGAGCGCAACCCUUAUCUUUAGUAGCCAGCGGUUCGGCCGGGCACUCUAGAGAGACUGCCAGGGAUAACCUGGAGGAAGGCGGGGAUGACGUCAAAUCAUCAUGCCCCUUAUGACUUGGGCUACACACGUGCUACAAUGGCGUAAACAAAGGGAAGCAAAGCUGUGAAGCCGAGCAAAUCUCAAAAAUAACGUCUCAGUUCGGACUGUAGUCUGCAACCCGACUACACGAAGCUGGAAUCGCUAGUAAUCGCAGAUCAGAAUGCUGCGGUGAAUACGUUCCCGGGUCUUGCACACACCGCCCGUC
Molecule: ribosomal RNA, 1342 nt
Filed under: uncultured bacterium
Lineage: Bacteria
Description: bacterial SSU rRNA
Rfam family: Bacterial small subunit ribosomal RNA
Source: RNAcentral